GAGAUGCAGCUCAGUGGUAGAGCAUUUGCCUAGCAUGUGCCAGGCCCUGGGUUCUAUUCCCAGUACCACA
This 70-nucleotide transfer RNA is filed under the name Marmota monax (woodchuck). RNAcentral describes it as "tRNA.Ala". The record is from RNAcentral. Lineage: Eukaryota; Metazoa; Chordata; Mammalia; Rodentia; Sciuridae.